RNAcentral lists this long non-coding RNA (208 nucleotides) under Elaeis guineensis (African oil palm). Its description in RNAcentral is "long non-coding RNA (EGUI_LNC055374)". The record is from RNAcentral. Lineage: Eukaryota; Viridiplantae; Streptophyta; Magnoliopsida; Arecales; Arecaceae.
UUUAUUGAAAUUUCAUAGUUUGCUUUGGCCAAAAGACCUAUAGAAAUGACAUUCAAAAGAAAAUUGGGACAGUAAUGACAAUCAUUAAGAACAAUAAAAUGAGAAUUGAACACAAGCUUGAUGAUUUCUAAAGCUAAAACUAGAACUGAUCUUCUAUCUCCAACAUUCAAGAAGCUCUCACUGUCUCCAAAUCUCUUACUGACCUGAA